Molecule: ribosomal RNA, 492 nt
Filed under: uncultured bacterium
Lineage: Bacteria
Description: partial 16S ribosomal RNA
Rfam family: Bacterial small subunit ribosomal RNA
Source: RNAcentral
AGUGAACGCUGGCGGUAGGCCUAACACAUGCAAGUCGAACGGCAGCACAGUAAGAGCUUGCUCUUACGGGUGGCGAGUGGCGGCCGGGUGAGGAAUACAUCGGAAUCUACUUUUUCGUGGGGGAUAACGUAGGGGAACUUACGCUAAUACCGCAUACGACCUACGGGUGAAAGCCGGUGAUCUUCGGACCUUGCGCGAUUGCAUGAGCCGAUGUAGGAUUAGCUAGGUGGGGGGGGAUAGGCCCACCAAGGCGACGAUCCGUAGCUGGUCUGAGAGGAUGAUCAACCACACUAGAACUGAGACACGGUCCAGACUCCUACGGGAGGCAGCAGUGGGGAAUAUUGGGCAAUGGGCGCAAGCCGGAUCCAGCCAUACCGCGUGGGUGAAGAAGGCCUUUGGGUUGUAAAGCCCUUUUGUUGGGAAAGAAAAGCAGCAGGUUAAGACCCCGCUGUUCUGACGGUACCCAAAGAAUAAGCACCGGCUAACUUCGUG